This 30-nucleotide non-coding RNA is filed under the name Mus musculus (house mouse). Lineage: Eukaryota; Metazoa; Chordata; Mammalia; Rodentia; Muridae. The record is from RNAcentral.
UGCAAGAAUAGUAUACACUGCAGGUGUUGG